CCUAACACAUGCAAGUCGAACGAGACCUUCGGGUCUAGUGGCGCACGGGUGCGUAACGCGUGGGAAUCUGCCCUUGGGUUCGGAAUAACUUCGGGAAACUGAAGCUAAUACCGGAUGAUGACGUAAGUCCAAAGAUUUAUCGCCCAAGGAUGAGCCCGCGUAGGAUUAGCUAGUUGGUGAGGUAAAGGCUCACCAAGGCGACGAUCCUUAGCUGGUCUGAGAGGAUGAUCAGCCACACUGGGACUGAGACACGGCCCAGACUCCUACGGGAGGCAGCAGUGGGGAAUAUUGGACAAUGGGCGAAAGCCUGAUCCAGCAAUGCCGCGUGAGUGAUGAAGGCCUUAGGGUUGUAAAGCUCUUUUACCCGGGAUGAUAAUGACAGUACCCGGAGAAUAAGCUCCGGCUAACUCCGUGCCAGCAGCCGCGGUAAUACGGAGGGAGCUAGCGUUGUUCGGAAUUACUGGGCGUAAAGCGCACGUAGGCGGCUUUGUAAGUUAGAGGUGAAAGCCUGGAGCUCAACUCCAGAAUUGCCUUUGAUACUGCAUCGCUUGAAUUCAGGAGAGGUGAGUGGAAUUCCGAGUGUAGAGGUGAAAUUCGUAGAUAUUCGGAAGAACACCAGUGGCGAAGGC
This 629-nucleotide ribosomal RNA is filed under the name uncultured Alphaproteobacteria bacterium. RNAcentral describes it as "bacterial SSU rRNA". It matches the Rfam family "Bacterial small subunit ribosomal RNA", at positions 47 to 722 of the family's 1533-position model. Lineage: Bacteria; Pseudomonadati; Pseudomonadota; Alphaproteobacteria. The record is from RNAcentral.